AGCUUGCUCCCUGGGUGACGAGCGGCGGACGGGUGAGUAAUGUCUGGGAAACUGCCUGAUGGAGGGGGAUAACUACUGGAAACGGUAGCUAAUACCGCAUAACGUCGCAAGACCAAAGAGGGGGACCUUCGGGCCUCUUGCCAUCAGAUGUGCCCAGAUGGGAUUAGCUAGUAGGUGGGGUAAUGGCUCACCUAGGCGACGAUCCCUAGCUGGUCUGAGAGGAUGACCAGCCACACUGGAACUGAGACACGGUCCAGACUCCUACGGGAGGCAGCAGUGGGGAAUAUUGCACAAUGGGCGCAAGCCUGAUGCAGCCAUGCCGCGUGUGUGAAGAAGGCCUUCGGGUUGUAAAGCACUUUCAGCGAGGAGGAAGGUGGUGAACUUAAUACGUUCAUCAAUUGACGUUACUCGCAGAAGAAGCACCGGCUAACUCCGUGCCAGCAGCCGCGGUAAUACGGAGGGUGCAAGCGUUAAUCGGAAUUACUGGGCGUAAAGCGCACGCAGGCGGUUUGUUAAGUCAGAUGUGAAAUCCCCGGGCUCAACCUGGGAACUGCAUUUGAAACUGGCAAGCUAGAGUCUCGUAGAGGGGGGUAGAAUUCCAGGUGUAGCGGUGAAAUGCGUAGAGAUCUGGAGGAAUACCGGUGGCGAAGGCGGCCCCCUGGACGAAGACUGACGCUCAGGUGCGAAAGCGU
RNAcentral lists this ribosomal RNA (692 nucleotides) under Serratia marcescens. Its description in RNAcentral is "bacterial SSU rRNA". It matches the Rfam family "Bacterial small subunit ribosomal RNA", at positions 77 to 762 of the family's 1533-position model. The record is from RNAcentral. Lineage: Bacteria; Pseudomonadati; Pseudomonadota; Gammaproteobacteria; Enterobacterales; Yersiniaceae.